AGCGAACGCUGGCGGCAGGCCUAACACAUGCAAGUCGAACGAACUCUUCGGAGUUAGUGGCGGACGGGUGAGUAACACGUGGGAACGUGCCUUUUGGUUCGGAAUAACUCAGGGAAACUUGUGCUAAUACCGAAUGUGCCCUUCAGGGGAAAGAUUUAUCGCCAUUAGAGCGGCCCGCGUCUGAUUAGCUAGUUGGUGAGGUAACGGCUCACCAAGGCGACGAUCAGUAGCUGGUCUGAGAGGAUGACCAGCCACACUGGGACUGAGACACGGCCCAGACUCCUACGGGAGGCAGCAGUGGGGAAUCUUGCGCAAUGGGCGAAAGCCUGACGCAGCCAUGCCGCGUGAAUGAUGAAGGUCUUAGGAUUGUAAAAUUCUUUCACCGGGGACGAUAAUGACGGUACCCGGAGAAGAAGCCCCGGCUAACUUCGUG
Molecule: ribosomal RNA, 433 nt
Filed under: uncultured bacterium
Lineage: Bacteria
Description: partial 16S ribosomal RNA
Rfam family: Bacterial small subunit ribosomal RNA
Source: RNAcentral